ACUCAAAUGAAUUGACGGGGACUCGCACAAGCGGUGGAUCAUGUGGUUUAAUUCGAUGGUACACGAGGAACCUUACCAGGGCUUGACAUUCUAUUGAAUGGAGUUGGAAACGAUUUCGGCCUAAGAUUUAUCUUUGGCAAUAGGACAGGUGCUGCACGGUCGUCGUCAGCUCGUGGCGUGAGCUGUUCCCUUAAGUGGGGUAACGAGCGCAACCCUCGUUCUGUGUUACAAGUGUCACAGAAGACUGUCCGCUUUAAGCGGAAGGAAGGUGGGGAUGACGUCAGAUCAGCGUGGCCCUUUGAUGCCCUGGGCUACACACAUGAUACAAUGGUCAAGACAAAGGGUUGCCAAGCCGUAAGGCGGAGCUAAUCUCAAAAACUUGGCCUCAGUUCGGAUUGAGGGCUGAAACUCGCCCUCAUGAAGUUGGAAUCGCUAGUAAUCGUGGAUCAGAUAUGCCACGGUGAAUACGUUCUCGAGUCCUGUACACACCGCCCGU
This 496-nucleotide ribosomal RNA is filed under the name uncultured bacterium. RNAcentral's name for it is "partial 16S ribosomal RNA". It matches the Rfam family "Bacterial small subunit ribosomal RNA", at positions 899 to 1397 of the family's 1533-position model. The record is from RNAcentral.